Molecule: ribosomal RNA, 422 nt
Filed under: uncultured eukaryote
Lineage: Eukaryota
Description: partial 18S ribosomal RNA
Rfam family: Eukaryotic small subunit ribosomal RNA
Source: RNAcentral
CAAUAGCGUAUAUUAAUGUUGUUGCAGUUAAAAAGCUCGUAGUUGGAUUUCGAAUGGGAGCGGCUGGUCGGCCCCGCAAGGGGUCGCAACCUGGUUCGUCUCCGGUUCUGAUUCGGGAUCUUUCUGUUGGUCGUGGCCUUGAUUGGUUGCGGCUGAUGGCCCGUCGUUUACUGUGAACAAAUUAGAGUGUUCCAAGCAAGGCUUGACUUGAAUACAUUAGCAUGGAAUAAUAAGAUAGGACUUUGGUGGUUUCUGCGGGGGGGCUUCUCGCCCUCCUGUAGGAUAUUUUGUUGGUUUGCACGCCGAAGUAAUGGUUAAUAGGAGCAGUUGGGGGUAUUCGUAUUCAAUUGUCAGAGGUGAAAUUCUUGGAUUUCUAGAAGACGAACUACUGCGAAAGCAUUUACCAAGGAUGUUUUCAUUAA